GCCCGUAUAGCUCAGUGGUAGAGCGCAUCACUCGUAUUGCCAUGUUGCGACAUGAUGAGGUCCGCGGUUCAAUCCCGCGUGGGGGCA
Molecule: transfer RNA, 87 nt
Filed under: Thermochaetoides thermophila DSM 1495
Lineage: Eukaryota; Fungi; Ascomycota; Sordariomycetes; Sordariales; Chaetomiaceae
Description: Chaetomium thermophilum var. thermophilum DSM 1495 tRNA
Rfam family: tRNA
About the family: Transfer RNA (tRNA) molecules are approximately 80 nucleotides in length. Their secondary structure includes four short double-helical elements and three loops (D, anti-codon, and T loops). Further hydrogen bonds mediate the characteristic L-shaped molecular structure. tRNAs have two regions of fundamental functional importance: the anti-codon, which is responsible for specific mRNA codon recognition, and the 3' end, to which the tRNAs corresponding amino acid is attached (by aminoacyl-tRNA synthetases). tRNAs cope with the degeneracy of the genetic code in two manners: having more than one tRNA (with a specific anti-codon) for a particular amino acid; and 'wobble' base-pairing, i.e. permitting non-standard base-pairing at the 3rd anti-codon position.
Source: Rfam by way of RNAcentral